AUACGGAGGGUGCAAGCGUUGUCCGGAUUUAUUGGGUUUAAAGGGUGCGUAGGUGGUUUUUUAAGUCAGUGGUGAAAGCCUACAGCUUAACUGUAGAGGUGCCAUUGAAACUGGGAAACUUGAGUAUGGACGAGGUAGGCGGAAUUUGUGGUGUAGCGGUGAAAUGCAUAGAUACCACAAAGAACACCGAUAGCGAAGGCAGCUUACUAGGCCAUAACUGACACUGAGGCACGAAAGUGUGGGGAGCGAACAGGAUUAGAAACCCCUGUAGUCC
Molecule: ribosomal RNA, 274 nt
Filed under: uncultured bacterium
Lineage: Bacteria
Description: partial 16S ribosomal RNA
Rfam family: Bacterial small subunit ribosomal RNA
Source: RNAcentral